CCUACGGGCGGCUGCAGUGGGGAAUAUUGCACAAUGGGCGCAAGCCUGAUGCAGCCAUGCCGCGUGUGUGAAGAAGGCCUUCGGGUUGUAAAGCACUUUCAGCGGGGAGGAAGGCGGUGAGGUUAAUAACCUCAUCGAUUGACGUUACCCGCAGAAGAAGCACCGGCUAACUCCGUGCCAGCAGCCGCGGUAAUACGGAGGGUGCAAGCGUUAAUCGGAAUUACUGGGCGUAAAGCGCACGCAGGCGGUCUGUCAAGUCGGAUGUGAAAUCCCCGGGCUCAACCUGGGAACUGCAUUCGAAACUGGCAGGCUAGAGUCUUGUAGAGGGGGGUAGAAUUCCAGGUGUAGCGGUGAAAUGCGUAGAGAUCUGGAGGAAUACCGGUGGCGAAGGCGGCCCCCUGACAAAGACUGACGCUCAGGUGCGAAAGCGUGGGGAGCAAACAGGAUUAGAUACCCCGGUAGUC
Molecule: ribosomal RNA, 464 nt
Filed under: uncultured Klebsiella sp.
Lineage: Bacteria; Pseudomonadati; Pseudomonadota; Gammaproteobacteria; Enterobacterales; Enterobacteriaceae
Description: bacterial SSU rRNA
Rfam family: Bacterial small subunit ribosomal RNA
Source: RNAcentral